ACAGGGAUUGCCUCAGUAACGGCGAGUGAAGCGGCACAAGCUCAAAUUUGAAAUCUGGCUCUUUCAGGGUCCGAGUUGUAAUUUGUAGAAGAUGCUUCGGGUGUGGCCCCGGUCUAAGUUCCUUGGAACAGGACGUCAUAGAGGGUGAGAAUCCCGUAUGUGACUGGGUGCCUACGCUCAUGUGAAGCUCUUUCGACGAGUCGAGUUGUUUGGGAAUGCAGCUCAAAAUGGGUGGUAUAUUUCAUCUAAAGCUAAAUAUUGGCCAGAGACCGAUAGCGCACAAGUAGAGUGAUCGAAAGAUGAAAAGCACUUUGGAAAGAGAGUUAAACAGUACGUGAAAUUGUUGAAAGGGAAGCGCUUGCAAUCAGACUUGCGCCUGGGUAAUCAUCCGGGGUUCUCUCCGGUGCACUUGCUCAGGCUCAGGCCAGCAUCGGUUUGGGUGGUUGGAUAAAGGCCUUGGGAAUGUGGCCCCCUUCGGGGGGUGUUAUAGCCCUCGGUGCCAUGCAGCCUACCUGGACCGAGGACCGCGCUUCGGCUAGGAUGCUGGCGUAAUGGUUGUAAGCGACCCGUCUUGAAACACGGACCAAGGAGUCUAACAUCUAUGCGAGUGUUUGGGUGUCAAACCCAUACGCGUAAUGAAAGUGAACGGAGGUGAGAACCCUUUAGGGCGCAUCAUCGACCGAUCCUGAUGUCUUCGGAUGGAUUUGAGUAAGAGCAUAGCUGUUGGGACCCGAAAGAUGGUGAACUAUGCGUGAAUAGGGUGAAGCCAGAGGAAACUCUGGUGGAGGCUCGCAGCGGUUCUGACGUGCAAAUCGAUCGUCAAAUUUGCGUAUAGGGGCGAAAGACUAAUCG
This 852-nucleotide ribosomal RNA is filed under the name Rutstroemia bulgarioides. RNAcentral's name for it is "LSU rRNA". It matches the Rfam family "Eukaryotic large subunit ribosomal RNA", at positions 68 to 937 of the family's 3401-position model. Lineage: Eukaryota; Fungi; Ascomycota; Leotiomycetes; Helotiales; Rutstroemiaceae. The record is from RNAcentral.